Molecule: unclassified non-coding RNA, 240 nt
Filed under: soil metagenome
Description: partial contains 5.8S ribosomal RNA, internal transcribed spacer 2, and large subunit ribosomal RNA
Source: RNAcentral
AACGCACGAGACCUGCGGACCUGCGGAGGGAUCAUUACCGAGUUCGGGGUUUUCCCCAACUCCCACCCUUGUUUAUCAGCUGUUGCUUCGGCGAGACGUUGGAAGCAACCAUCGGCGAUUUGUAAAAAGAACCGAUGCGCGCUCGCCGGACUCCAAAUACUCUGAGAUUAUGUACAGUCAGAUGAAAACAAGCAAUUGAAUAAAAACUUUCAACAAUGGAUCUCUAGAUCGGAAGAGCAC